AAGGAUCAUUACCGAGUGAGGGCCCUCUGGGUCCAACCUCCCACCCGUGUCUAUCGUACCUUGUUGCUUCGGCGGGCCCGCCGUUUCGACGGCCGCCGGGGAGGCCUCGCGCCCCCGGGCCCGCGCCCGCCGAAGACCCCAACAUGAACUCUGUUCUGAAAGUAUGCAGUCUGAGUUGAUUAUCAUAAUCAGUUAAAACUUUCAACAACGGAUCUCUUGGUUCCGGCAUCGAUGAAGAACGCAGCGAAAUGCGAUAAGUAAUGUGAAUUGCAGAAUUCAGUGAAUCAUCGAGUCUUUGAACGCACAUUGCGCCCCCUGGUAUUCCGGGGGGCAUGCCUGUCCGAGCGUCAUUGCUGCCCUCAAGCACGGCUUGUGUGUUGGGCCCCCGUCCCCGGUUUCCCCCGGGGAUGGGCCCGAAAGGCAGCGGCGGCACCGCGUCCGGUCCUCGAGCGUAUGGGGCUUUGUCACCCGCUCUGUAGGCCCGGCCGGCGCCAGCCGACACCCAACUUUAUUUCUAAGGUUGACCUCGGAUCAGGUAGGGAUACCCGCUGAACUUAAGCAUAUCAAUAAGCGGAGGAAAAGAAACCAACAGGGAUUGCCUCAGUAACGGCGAGUGAAGCGGCAAGAGCUCAAAUUUGAAAGCUGGCCCCUUCGGGGUCCGCGUUGUAAUUUGCAGAGGAUGCUUCGGGUGCAGCCCCCGUCUAAGUGCCCUGGAACGGGCCGUCAUAGAGGGUGAGAAUCCCGUCUGGGACGGGGUGUCUGCGUCCGUGUGAAGCUCCUUCGAAGAGUCGAGUUGUUUGGGAAUGCAGCUCUAAAUGGGUGGUAAAUUUCAUCUAA
RNAcentral lists this small RNA (837 nucleotides) under Aspergillus wyomingensis. RNAcentral's name for it is "eukaryotic LSU rRNA". The stretch from base 522 to 837 matches the Rfam family "Eukaryotic large subunit ribosomal RNA", at positions 1 to 313 of the family's 3401-position model. The record is from RNAcentral. Lineage: Eukaryota; Fungi; Ascomycota; Eurotiomycetes; Eurotiales; Aspergillaceae.